This is a non-coding RNA of Pteropus alecto (black flying fox), 117 nucleotides long. Lineage: Eukaryota; Metazoa; Chordata; Mammalia; Chiroptera; Pteropodidae. The record is from Rfam.
GCUUGCUUUGGCAGUGUAUGUACUAAAAUUGGGGAAUGAUACAGAGAAGAUUAUAACAGCCCCUGCAUGAGGAUGACACAUAAAUUUGUGGGGAAAAAAAAUAAGUAUCAUUUUUUU